AUGGGUAACCUACCUUCAGGUCGUGGAUAGCUUUCCUAACGGAUUGGUAAUACACGGAGUUGUCAUCUAGCGGCAUCACCGGAUGACUAAAGAAUUUCGCCUGGAGAGGGGCCCAUGUCGUAUCAGCUAGUUGGUGAGGUAACGGCUCACCAAGGCUAAGACGCGUAGCGGGUGUGAGAGCACGACCCGCGCCACUGGCACUGAGACACUGGCCAGACUCCUACGGGAGGCUGCAGUCGAGGAUCUUUGGCAAUGAGCGCAAGCUUGACCAAGCGACGCCGCGUGUACGAUGAAGGCCUUCGGGUUGUAAAGCACUGUCGAGGGGGAGGAAGCCGCAAGGUUGACCUAUCCCUGGAGGAAGCACGGGCUAAGUUCGUGCCAGCAGCCGCGGUAAGACGAACCGUGCGAACGUUAUUCGGAAUCACUGGGCUUAAAGGGCGCGUAGGCGGAUUUGCAAGUCUGUGGUGAAAUCCUCCAGCUUAACUGGAGAAGUGCCAUGGAUACUGCGAGUCUC
This 514-nucleotide ribosomal RNA is filed under the name uncultured Planctomycetota bacterium. RNAcentral's name for it is "bacterial SSU rRNA". It matches the Rfam family "Bacterial small subunit ribosomal RNA", at positions 117 to 643 of the family's 1533-position model. The record is from RNAcentral. Lineage: Bacteria; Pseudomonadati; Planctomycetota.